AGCUCACAGCUCCGCCACCGCAGGGCGGUGGCGGUGACCGUGUGCCUUUUGCAUAAUGAGCCAACGACUUCGUUCUCAGUGGCUUGGCUAAGGGAGUUAUACCCGCAGCCGUAGCGAAAGCGAGUCCGAAUAGGGCGAUUAUGUCGCUGGGACAAGACCCGAAACCGGGUGAGCUAUCCAUGAGCAGGAUGAAGGUCGCCGAAAGGCGGCUGGAGGUCCGAACUGGUGGGUGUCGCAAGACCCUCGGAUGACUUGUGGAUAGGAGUGAAAAGCUUACCGAACCCGGAGAUAGCUGGUUCUCCUCGAUAUGCCUUUAGGGGCAGCCUCGUAGUACACCCUGGGGGGUAGAGCUACUGUUUGGAUGCGGGGGUCACCUCGACCUACCAAAUCCAGACAAACUCCGAAUACCCAGGCUUUGGCUACGGGAGUGAGACGGUGACAGCGAACUGCCAUCGUCGUGAGGGAAAUAGCCCAGAUCAUUUGCUAAGGUCCCCAAACUGUAGUUCAGUGGAAAAGGAAGUGCAGGUGCGUAAACAACCAGGAGAUUGGCUUAGAAGCAGCCAUCCUUUAAAGAAAGCGUAACAGCUCACUGGUCGAUGCACUUGUGCGCCGAAAAUGUAACGGGGCAAAACUACAUACCGAAGCAGUGAAUGUGUAUCCGUUCCGGAUACGCGUGGUAGAGGAGCGUUCUGUCCAGCUGCGAAGCAGUACCGCGAGGUGCUGUGGAGCGGACAGAAGCGAGAAUGUUGGCAUGAGUAACUACUAGGCAGGCGAAAAUCCUGCCCAUCGAAUCCCCAAGGUUUCCCACGCAACGGUCAUCGACGUGGGGUUAGUCGGUCCUAAGGUCAGGCCGAAAGGCGUAGCCGAUGGACAGCAGGUUAAUAUUCCUGCACUUCGUACGUAUCGAUCAGGGUUGCAGUAUGAAAGUCCUGCCGGCCUCUGUCCGUGUCACUGUGAGUAUCAGCGUGAUAGCUUCAGUAGCUUCAAUAGCUUCGUUAGGGAUUCCCUAAUGCAGCUAACGAAGCUAAUGCAGCUACUCCCUCGUUCUUACGGUGACACGGAUAUGUCAGCGGGAAACGAUUGCUGCCGCCUAGGAGCGGCGUGACGGAUCGGGAAGAUCAGAGCGUGUGUAUUGACUGCACGUGGAAAGUACGAGACGUUGAUUCCGGGAGGUAAAUCCCCCGGUUGAGUCGAGUGCGUAUCCCAAAUACUCCCCGCGAGGGGGGCGAGUCUGUCCCUUUCUGGUUCCAAGAAAACCGUCGCUACCGAGAGACGUCCGGAACCGUACCGCAAACCAACACCGGUGGGGUGGUCGAGUAGACCAAGAUGAACGGGUCACCUUGCGUUAAGGAACUCGGCAAUAAAGCAUCCGUAACUUCGGGAUAAGGAUCGCCGCACGUCGCAAGACGCGCGGCCGCAGCAAAAGAGCUCAGGCGACUGUUUACCAAAAACACAGGUCCCUGCGAAGCCGUAAGGCUAUGUAUAGGGGCUGAUGCCUGCCCAGUGUCAGAAGGUCACGGGAGGAGGUUUACGCCUCCAACCUAAGCCCUGAUGAACGGCGGCCGUAACUAUAACGGUCCUAAGGUAGCGAAAUUCCUUGUCGGGUGGUCGUAAUCACUUGCCCGAAUCAUGAGCAAUCAUGAGCACUGAGGAAUAUCGUUUUGUUUUUGGAAAGUCUCACACCGAGAUGUGUGAUGUCUCUGUCGUAAGAUGAGAGACGAGCAAAUUUUGUUUCAGCUUUCAGCGCAGGCAUUCCUGCCUGCGAAUAGAGUUCCAAAUUAUUUAAGUGCUUGAACGAUCGUACUGGUAGUCCUACCUGACUACACCAGUGUAAAACGUCGCUAUGUGCUGGAAUAUCCGAGAAUGCAGCGGUACUUGCAAAAUAUCAGUAAUAUGAUAUAAUGUUAAGUAACAAACCGUCUGCUGCGGACAAUCAGCAGGAAAUACUUUCCUUUCUAAACAUGGCAAAUCUAAGUCUAGAUCAAGAAGGCUUCGGCAAGGUACACGGCCUAAUCGAGACGCUCAGGGAUGACAAGGAUCCAAGGCGUCAUCAAAUUUGGUUAGACGCUGUUGGCAUUGAUGGAAGUUUUCAUGCUUUAAGCAGAGCUCCCGCAGGUCAUGAUGUCUCUCCAGACAUUGCUGAUAUCAACACGCGGAUUGCCCUUGUGCUGAAAGAAAUAGAAGGAAAAUAGCUCCUCAGAGACUACACGCGACACUCCGAACAAUCGGAGCAUGAUAUAGUCCGAUCCCUGUGGCGACAUAGGGCGCGCGAAAUUGAAGCGCGGCUAAAAAACAAUCGUUCUUCCUGAA
RNAcentral lists this ribosomal RNA (2310 nucleotides) under groundwater metagenome. RNAcentral's name for it is "bacterial LSU rRNA". The stretch from base 5 to 1677 matches the Rfam family "Bacterial large subunit ribosomal RNA", at positions 567 to 2044 of the family's 2925-position model. The record is from RNAcentral.